Long non-coding RNA from Bubalus bubalis (water buffalo), 215 nucleotides. RefSeq lists it as uncharacterized. The record is from RefSeq and is a predicted model, not a curated record. The transcript is spliced from 3 exons. NCBI's taxonomy places the organism in Eukaryota, Metazoa, Chordata, Mammalia, Artiodactyla, Bovidae.
UUUGUUCCCUGAGCUAUCCAGUCAAUUGGAGAAUUGAGCACUGACUGGUUUAUUUGGCCAAAGGAUGCCGGAGAUGAAGCACGAGACAUCCGAUAAGCAACCUGGCUCUUUGCUAAGUGCUGUAUGUAUUCUACUCAUUGCAUCCUCAUAAGCAUCUUAAGAGGUGGUGGUGGUGGUAUCUGGCUCUUGCAACCUCAUGGACUAGCCCACAGGCC